This 512-nucleotide ribosomal RNA is filed under the name Quadrastichus mendeli. RNAcentral describes it as "partial large subunit ribosomal RNA". The record is from RNAcentral. Lineage: Eukaryota; Metazoa; Arthropoda; Insecta; Hymenoptera; Eulophidae.
GMSSYSGUUCUGGGGGAGUUCAGAGUACGUGUACCGUUCAGGGGUAAACCUGASAAACCCAMAAKAUCGAAUGGGGAKAUUCAUCGUCACRACGUUGGCUUCCGUGCGGCUCGCGAUGGUCGGGACUUCRGUCUCKCGCCACGCGGUCGCCGCGGUACGUCCGGCGUCRUCRGMKKGCRCUUCUCCCCUAGUAGGACGUCRCGACCCGUUGGGUGUCGGACCAAUGGCCGUUCGGUCGUCUGUUUUCGCUUUUACGGAGCGGCAGACCGAUCGGUUUAACGUCCGACUGCCCGGCGGUAUAGAACGCUUAAUCACGGUAUUGGGCCGCAACUUGAAUGCGUUCAGGCUCGUCGGCAGGCUCGUCUCGCUCGGAUUUACGGACCUAGCGCCGUUGCCGGGCGCUUGGCGUGGCUGUUAGUCGACGGUGCCCUCGGACUGGCUCUUACCUGUCUGCGACGCUACUGCUUUGGGUACUUUCAGGACCCGUCUUGAAACACGGACAAAGGAGUCWC